Molecule: transfer RNA, 72 nt
Filed under: Candidatus Woesearchaeota archaeon
Lineage: Archaea; Nanobdellati; Candidatus Woesearchaeota
Also listed under: 1 other name
Description: tRNA-Thr
Rfam family: tRNA
About the family: Transfer RNA (tRNA) molecules are approximately 80 nucleotides in length. Their secondary structure includes four short double-helical elements and three loops (D, anti-codon, and T loops). Further hydrogen bonds mediate the characteristic L-shaped molecular structure. tRNAs have two regions of fundamental functional importance: the anti-codon, which is responsible for specific mRNA codon recognition, and the 3' end, to which the tRNAs corresponding amino acid is attached (by aminoacyl-tRNA synthetases). tRNAs cope with the degeneracy of the genetic code in two manners: having more than one tRNA (with a specific anti-codon) for a particular amino acid; and 'wobble' base-pairing, i.e. permitting non-standard base-pairing at the 3rd anti-codon position.
Source: RNAcentral
GCCCCCGUAGCUCAGUGGUUGAGCGCCACCUUGGUAAGGUGGAGGUCCCGGGUUCGAUCCCCGGCGGGGGCU